Molecule: long non-coding RNA, 234 nt
Filed under: Mytilus galloprovincialis (Mediterranean mussel)
Lineage: Eukaryota; Metazoa; Mollusca; Bivalvia; Mytilida; Mytilidae
Source: RNAcentral
CCAAUUCCAGUAUUCCAAUAACUUAUCUGCUGACUACAUUUCAUGCAAGGACAAACAUCAAACUUAUGAUAGUCAUUUGUUAAAAAACAAUGAUGUCCAGAUAACCGAAUAGUAAGCCUGGAAAACAGAUGAUUUGCUAAUAAUGUGCAAAUAUAUGAUUCAUCAUCUUUUAUAGGUCUAUCUCUUUUUUCAGGUAUUCUAUGCAUGCAUCUCAAACAUUCCUCAUGGAAAUCU